RNAcentral lists this small RNA (97 nucleotides) under Homo sapiens (human). RNAcentral's name for it is "nc072 non-coding RNA". Lineage: Eukaryota; Metazoa; Chordata; Mammalia; Primates; Hominidae. The record is from RNAcentral.
AUGUUGACCCCUGGCUACCUCACUCCCAUUGCCUCUCUCUCGUGCUCCACGUUCCAAGAAUUUUAACCAGCCAACAAGCCAGGAAAGCACCUAAUAC